This 460-nucleotide ribosomal RNA is filed under the name uncultured bacterium. RNAcentral's name for it is "partial 16S ribosomal RNA". It matches the Rfam family "Bacterial small subunit ribosomal RNA", at positions 30 to 509 of the family's 1533-position model. The record is from RNAcentral.
UAAACGCUGGCGGCGUGCUUAACACAUGCAAGUCGAACGAAGUUUUUCCUUCGGGAGAAACUUAGUGGCGGACGGGUGAGUAACGCGUGGGUAACCUGCCCUGUACAGGGGGACAACAGCUGGAAACGGCUGCUAAUACCGCAUAAGCCCUUAGCACUGCAUGGUGCAUAGGGAAAAGGAGCAAUCCGGUACAGGAUGGACCCGCGUCUGAUUAGCCAGUUGGCAGGGUAACGGCCUACCAAAGCGACGAUCAGUAGCCGAUCUGAGAGGAUGUACGGCCAGAGUGGGAAUGAGACACGCCCAGACCACCGGGGGGAGGCAGGGGUGGGAAAUAUUAAACAAUGGAGAAAACUUGGAGGCAGCGACGCGGCGUGAGAAAAGAAUUUUUUGGUAAUGAAAACCUAAAUCGGAAGGGAAGAAAAGAAGGUUCCCUAAUAAAAAGCCCCGGAGAAAAUCCGCC